GACGAACGCUGGCGGCGUGCUUAACACAUGCAAGUCGAGCGGUAAGGCCCUUUCGGGGGUACGACGAGCGGCGAACGGGUGAGUAACACGUGGGUGACCUGCCCUCAGCUCUGGGAUAAGCCCGGGAAACUAGGGUCUAAUACCGGAUAUGACUCCAUGACGCAUGUUGUGGGGUGGAAAGCCUUGUGCGGCUGAGGAUGGGCCCGCGGCCUAUCAGCUUGUUGGUGGGGUGAUGGCCACCAAGGCGACGACGGGUAGCCGGCCUGAGAGGGCGACCGGCCACACUGGGACUGAGAUACGGCCCAGACUCCUACGGGAGGCAGCAGUGGGGAAUCUUGCGCAAUGGGCGAAAGCCUGACGCAGCGACGCCGCGUGAGGGAUGACGGCCU
This 389-nucleotide ribosomal RNA is filed under the name uncultured bacterium. Its description in RNAcentral is "bacterial SSU rRNA". It matches the Rfam family "Bacterial small subunit ribosomal RNA", at positions 28 to 417 of the family's 1533-position model. The record is from RNAcentral.